Molecule: ribosomal RNA, 861 nt
Filed under: Umimayanthus sp. 1 HK-2019
Lineage: Eukaryota; Metazoa; Cnidaria; Anthozoa; Zoantharia; Parazoanthidae
Description: partial large subunit ribosomal RNA
Rfam family: Bacterial large subunit ribosomal RNA
Source: RNAcentral
GGUGGCCCCCAUCUUUCGGCGCCGCACUGUACUAAACUAACUAAAGUGGGGGAUAGUGAGGGGAUAAAUUUCCUUAAGGAACUCGGCAAAAAUCCCAAUGGCCCACCAGGGCAUAAAUUGGAACACGGGCCUCGACUGUUUACCAAAAACAUAGCCCUCGGCCAAUAUGAAAAUAGAAGUAUGGAGGGUGAGGCCUGCCCAAUGGUUGUAUCUAAAAGCGGUUGAUAAAAGUCGACCGCGUAAGGACAAUUGAAUGGCCGCGGUAACACUGACCGUGAUAAUGUAGCGUAAUCAAUAGCCAAUUAAUUGUUGGCCAGUAUGAAUGGCGCCACGAAGGCCCCACUGUCUUAAGGAAAUUCCCAGUGAAAUUGAAUUCGUAGUGAAGAUGCUACGUCCAAUUUGUUAGACGAAAAGACCCCGUUGAGCUUUACUGGGGCACUUACACGGCCCCGGCCUUCAAGACUGGGUUGAUAAGCCAAGGCUUACCAUACCUAGGGACCGGCCGAAUUUAAAUGGGCGGCUUAGACUAUGUGGCAGCCCCCCCCGUCGGGGCAGAUGAAACCCCACUCCCCCAUGUCAAAGGGGCUAACCCCCCCCCCUUGGGGGGGACAAUGUAAGUAGGACAGUUUGGUUGGGGCGACCGCCUUUUAGAGAGUAACGAAGGUGCGCUUAAGGUGCGUAAUUAAUGACUGAAGCCUGACUGCGAGGGGGAUACCCCGAGCAGACACCCCCAAGCCCGCCCGAGAAGGCUUUGCCUUCUGGGCGGCGGUGGGGUGGGCCAUAGUGACCCGUUAAUUUAGAGUGGAAUAGUUAACGAUCAACGAAUAAAAGUUACCACGGGGAUAACAGCGUAAUAUCGUU